UACAGAGGGGGCAAGCGUUGUUCGGAAUUACUGGGCGUAAAGGGCGCGUAGGCGGCCACCUAAGUCAGACGUGAAAUCCCUCGGCUCAACCGGGGAACUGCGUCUGAUACUGGGCGGCUUGAAUUCGGGAGAGGGAUGCGGAAUUCCAGGUGUAGCGGUGAAAUGCGUAGAUAUCUGGAGGAACACCGGUGGCGAAGGCGGCAUCCUGGACCGACAUUGACGCUGAGGCGCGAAAGCUAGGGGAGCAAACGGG
RNAcentral lists this ribosomal RNA (253 nucleotides) under uncultured bacterium. RNAcentral describes it as "partial 16S ribosomal RNA". It matches the Rfam family "Bacterial small subunit ribosomal RNA", at positions 524 to 776 of the family's 1533-position model. The record is from RNAcentral.